RNAcentral lists this long non-coding RNA (1328 nucleotides) under Panax ginseng (ginseng). RNAcentral describes it as "long non-coding RNA (PGIN_LNC000218)". The record is from RNAcentral. Lineage: Eukaryota; Viridiplantae; Streptophyta; Magnoliopsida; Apiales; Araliaceae.
AUACAUAUAUCUCCCAUAUAUACAUAUAUAUGCAGAAAUAGAGAGAGGCGGUAACCUUGUCAAGAAAAGUGGAAGGCUUGGAGGAAUUUCUGAUGGUAGUAGUACCAUUAUGAUUACUAAAUGUUUGGUCGAACGAUUUUUCAGUUUGAGGAGUCUUCUUCUUCUUAUUCUGCCUCUUCCCUCUUUUCCGUUUACGACUUGAACCAUUUUCUUCUUUCAUCAAUCUCUCUCUUAGUAAGGUUUAAUGGAGUUUUUAUUUUGGUAAAUCUGUUGAGCUUUCCAACCCCCAAAAGAGCAGAGGAAUAAACAAUACAACAGAGUAGGUCACAACAGGUGGACGAUAUAUCAAUGGCCCAAUUUCGUCUUUUGGGUCAGUAUUCUUUAUUAAUUCGGGUUUCAUUGGUUUGCUAGAAUUUAAGUCCUCCUGUAGGCAGAGCUACUUGUGAUAGAAAAAGAAAUUACAGAAUGUUAUCAAGAGAUUCAAGAGAAAUUCGCAGAGACAUGCUUCGGAGAAUAAUACAGGCGCAGAGAUCCAAAUACUGGAUGAUGGUAACCAAACCUUCAUACCAAGGUAACCAAACUGUCAUAUCAAAGUAACCAAUCAACCUCUACACUUUAAUUUUUUUUUUAGUACAGUUGGUUACCAAACCUUCAGAUCAAGGUAAACAAACCUUCGUACCAAGGUAACAAAACCUUCAUACCAAAGUAACUAAUUCACAUCCACACCUACAGUUUUUUCAUAGUGCAGUUGGUAGCCAAAUCUUCAGACCAAGGUAACCAAUUCAAUUUUAUUAAGUUACCAAUUUCGUUUGAAUGUGAUGCAGUUGGUAGCCAACCAUUCAUACAAAGGUAACCAUUUUAUUAUUUAUGAGUAACAAAAUAGUUAUAAAAAAAAAUCAGUACAUUAAUAGUUAUAUAUAUUUAUUUUUAAACUUUUUGUAGGGCGAAUCUUCUUCUUAUUCUCAUUGGCGUUUUGGACAAUGAAGAUUCUCGGCGGUGUAUCGACGGUGUAGCGGUGAACUAUUAUUUCAAAGUGUAUGUGAGGGAGAUGAAGAUUUGAAUUUGAAUAUUUAAAUUUGAAUUUGAAUUUAUUUUUGUUGUUAGAUCCAAAUAUUUGAAUUUGAAUUAUUAAUUAUGUAAGACCCCAACUUAUUAUAAAUAAAAUAGAAUUUCCUCUAAUUAUUAUUGUGAAUAAUAAGGUAUUAAUUUGAUAUAAUUCUCUGGUUAUGGGUGAAAUAUGAAAAUUUUGCAAAAUAUGCAAGUGGUUAUAAAAUAAUCAUUGUUGUCAGGGAAUAUUCAUUUGUUCGUGGAAUAUUCUUGUUGUCGGG